Molecule: long non-coding RNA, 750 nt
Organism: Clupea harengus (Atlantic herring)
Lineage: Eukaryota; Metazoa; Chordata; Actinopteri; Clupeiformes; Clupeidae
Source: Ensembl
ACGAGGGCGUCGUGCCUUUAUAAGACUACGUUAAUGGCGUUAAUGUUUCCGUGGAGUUAUCCCUUUCAGUUGUUGUUUAUUGAUUGUUAAACAUGGCUUCAUUUGCAAAGGUGGUUGUGUGUUUCCUCAUUGCUUGUGUCUGUAAUUCAUUCUGUUUUGCGAAGAGAGAUGUGAACUUUAAGGCAUAUGCAGUUGACCGCCAAAGUGAUGUGGUUGUCACCACAACACCCAAUCCCCACAGCCAGACCACAUCUGCCCAUACUGAAGCUGGUGGUGGUGCAAGUGAAGAUGCUACCACCCUAGCACCAAAUCCCCAUAAACAAACUACAUCAGGCCACACUGCAGCUACUGAUGAUCCCAGUGAAGAUGCUUUGGCUACCACCCCAACACCACAUCCCCCAACUACAUCUGACCACACUGCAGCUACCGAUGAUCCAAGUGAAGAUGCUUUGGCUACCACCCCAACAUCACAUCCCCCAACUACAUCUGACCACACUGCAGCUACCGAUGAUCCAAGUGAAGAUGGUUUGGCUACCACCCCAACAUCACAUCCCCCAACUACAUCUGACCACACUGCAGCUACCGAUGAUGCAAGUGAGGGUGCUGUGGCUGUCCAAACUGGAACUACUGUAUCCCAUACGACUGAAGUCUGAUUCGACUGCUCCUCUGGUCACAAUGACCUGAGUCACUGUCUGGACUUUUUGCCUCUACAUGUUGACUGCAAUAAAGGACAGAUAAUUAUUAUUAUUA